GAUGAACGAUAGAGGGAGGAAGAACAGAGGCAAGCCGAGCGGUAGAGUUUCUUCGGAAACGUGAGAGCGGCGCACGGGUGCGUAACACGUGUGCAACCUACCUUUAUCUGGGGGAUAGCCUUUCGAAAGGAAGAUUAAUACCCCAUAAUAUAAUGAUUGGCAUCAAUUAUUAUUGAAAACUCCGGUGGAUAGAGAUGGGCACGCGCAAGAUUAGAUAGUUGGUGAGGUAACGGCUCACCAAGUCAAUGAUCUUUAGGGGUCCUGAGAGGGAGGUCCCCCACACUGGUACUGAGACACGGACCAGACUCCUACGGGAGGCAGCAGUGAGGAAUAUUGGACAAUGGGUGAGAGCCUGAUCCAGCCAUCCCGCGUGAAGGAUGACGGUCCUAUGGAUUUUCCACUUCUUUUGUACAGGGAUAAACCUACCCUCGUGAGGGUAGCUGAAGGUACUGUACGAAUAAGCACCGGCUACCUCCGUG
RNAcentral lists this ribosomal RNA (479 nucleotides) under uncultured bacterium. Its description in RNAcentral is "partial 16S ribosomal RNA". It matches the Rfam family "Bacterial small subunit ribosomal RNA", at positions 28 to 507 of the family's 1533-position model. The record is from RNAcentral.